Molecule: ribosomal RNA, 253 nt
Filed under: uncultured bacterium
Lineage: Bacteria
Description: partial 16S ribosomal RNA
Rfam family: Bacterial small subunit ribosomal RNA
Source: RNAcentral
UACAGAGGAUGCAAGCGUUAUCCGGAAUGAUUGGGCGUAAAGCGUCUGUAGGUGGCUUUUUAAGUCCGCCGUCAAAUCCCAGGGCUCAACUCUGGACAGGCGGUGGAAACUACCAAGCUGGAGUACGGUAGGGGCAGAGGGAAUUUCCGGUGGAGCGGUGAAAUGCGUAGAGAUUGGAAAGAACACCGAUGGUGAAGGCACUUUACUGGGCUAUUACUAACACUCAGAGACGAAAGCUAGGGUAGCAAAUGGG